This 102-nucleotide non-coding RNA is filed under the name Gracilinema caldarium. RNAcentral's name for it is "Treponema caldarium Guanine sequence". It matches the Rfam family "Purine riboswitch aptamer". From Rfam's summary of the family: Riboswitches are metabolite binding domains within certain messenger RNAs that serve as precision sensors for their corresponding targets. Allosteric rearrangement of mRNA structure is mediated by ligand binding, and this results in modulation of gene expression. RNAcentral also lists the same sequence under 1 other name. The record is from RNAcentral. Lineage: Bacteria; Pseudomonadati; Spirochaetota; Spirochaetia; Treponematales; Breznakiellaceae.
CUAGACAGUACACCAUCGGUCCAUAUAUGCCCCGUAAUACGGUCGGGGUGUUUCUACCAGGGAGCCGUAAACCUCCUGACUAUGGGCUGAGAAACACAUCAG